GUGGUAAUGCCGGAUGCUCCAUCACACCGCAUGGUGUGUUGGGAAAGCCUUUGCGGCAUGGGAUGGGGUCGCGUCCUAUCAGCUUGAUGGCGGGGUAACGGCCCACCAUGGCUUCGACGGGUAGCCGGCCUGAGAGGGCGACCGGCCACAUUGGGACUGAGAUACGGCCCAGACUCCUACGGGAGGCAGCAGUGGGGAAUAUUGCACAAUGGGCGCAAGCCUGAUGCAGCGACGCCGCGUGAGGGAUGGAGGCCUUCGGGUUGUAAACCUCUUUUGUUAGGGAGCAAGGCAYUUUGUGUUGAGUGUACCUUUCGAAUAAGCACCGGCUAACUACGUGCCAGCAGCCGCGGUAAUACGUAGGGUGCAAGCGUUAUCCGGAAUUAUUGGGCGUAAAGGGCUCGUAGGCGGUUCGUCGCGUCCGGUGUGAAAGUCCAUCGCUUAACGGUGGAUCCGCGCCGGGUACGGGCGGGCUUGAGUGCGGUAGGGGAGACUGGAAUUCCCGGUGUAACGGUGGAAUGUGUAGAUAUCGGAAAGAACACC
This 540-nucleotide ribosomal RNA is filed under the name Bifidobacterium breve. Its description in RNAcentral is "bacterial SSU rRNA". Lineage: Bacteria; Bacillati; Actinomycetota; Actinomycetes; Bifidobacteriales; Bifidobacteriaceae. The record is from RNAcentral.